RNAcentral lists this ribosomal RNA (448 nucleotides) under uncultured Bacteroidota bacterium. RNAcentral's name for it is "bacterial SSU rRNA". It matches the Rfam family "Bacterial small subunit ribosomal RNA", at positions 28 to 469 of the family's 1533-position model. The record is from RNAcentral. Lineage: Bacteria; Pseudomonadati; Bacteroidota.
GAUGAACGCUAGCGGGAGGCUUAACACAUGCAAGUCGAGGGGCAGCACGAGGUAGUAAUACUUUGGUGGCGACCGGCGCACGGGUGAGUAACGCGUAUGCAACCUACCCUGUACUGGGGGAUAGCCCGGAGAAAUUCGGAUUAAUACCCCAUAAUUAUAUUUGGAGGCAUCUUCAGAUAUUUAAAGUUUCGACGGUACGGGAUGGGCAUGCGUGACAUUAGCUAGUUGGUAAGGUAACGGCUUACCAAGGCUACGAUGUCUAGGGGUCCUGAGAGGGUGAUCCCCCACACUGGUACUGAGACACGGACCAGACUCCUACGGGAGGCAGCAGUGAGGAAUAUUGGUCAAUGGGCGCAAGCCUGAACCAGCCAUCCCGCGUGAAGGAAGAAGGCGCUAUGCGUCGUAAACUUCUUUUCCGGAGGAAUAAAAUUUCGUACGUGUACGAAAC